Molecule: ribosomal RNA, 253 nt
Filed under: uncultured bacterium
Lineage: Bacteria
Description: partial 16S ribosomal RNA
Rfam family: Bacterial small subunit ribosomal RNA
Source: RNAcentral
UACGAAGGGGGCUAGCGUUGUUCGGAAUUACUGGGCGUAAAGCGCGCGCAGGCGGUCGUUCAAGUCGCGUGUGAAAGCCCCCGGCUCAACUGGGGAGGGUCACGCGAUACUGAUCGACUCGAAGGCAGGAGAGGGUAGUGGAAUUCCCGGUGUAGUGGUGAAAUGCGUAGAUAUCGGGAGGAACACCAGUGGCGAAGGCGACUACCUGGCCUGUUCUUGACGCUGAGGCGCGAAAGCUAGGGGAGCAAACGGG